AAAAGUGUAGUGAAGUUUUAAAUAUAAAUCAGACACAUCCCUAGUAUUUGCUUUUAACUGCACACCUUCUAAGAAAUUAUAUUUUUACUCCCAGCAAAUUACCUAGGAGAAAAAAAUGACAAGAGUAAUCUAUUUUUUUCACAGCUGGUUGGUUGGCCAGAGUUUCUCAUCAAGGAGUACAUGCUGUUUGCUCCCCAGAUGGACAGCCUGGAUGAGCUACAAAUCCACAGAGCCUGGGACACAAGGUGAAAAACCAGUAUGCUGGCAUGGAGAUAUGACCUUCAUAUAGAGUCAAACAUAAGAAAGUAGAUGUCGGUACAUUAGGUAUGAAGCUCUGCCCAUAACUGAGUAAAUCCAUCAGGAGCUCCUCAGUCAUCAGAAGAUUUGUAACUCACUGCCAGUGGUGUUGCUGCUGUGAUCUGGACUUCAGAGCUGGAGGAAGGGCAUCUGGAGCAAACAGUCCAGUCAAGGUUUGGAGAUGUGU
RNAcentral lists this long non-coding RNA (484 nucleotides) under Canis lupus familiaris (dog). RNAcentral describes it as "lncRNA (ENSCAFG00000059160.1)". Lineage: Eukaryota; Metazoa; Chordata; Mammalia; Carnivora; Canidae. The record is from RNAcentral.